This 72-nucleotide transfer RNA is filed under the name Rothia dentocariosa. Its description in RNAcentral is "tRNA-OTHER". It matches the Rfam family "tRNA". Rfam says of the family: Transfer RNA (tRNA) molecules are approximately 80 nucleotides in length. Their secondary structure includes four short double-helical elements and three loops (D, anti-codon, and T loops). Further hydrogen bonds mediate the characteristic L-shaped molecular structure. tRNAs have two regions of fundamental functional importance: the anti-codon, which is responsible for specific mRNA codon recognition, and the 3' end, to which the tRNAs corresponding amino acid is attached (by aminoacyl-tRNA synthetases). tRNAs cope with the degeneracy of the genetic code in two manners: having more than one tRNA (with a specific anti-codon) for a particular amino acid; and 'wobble' base-pairing, i.e. permitting non-standard base-pairing at the 3rd anti-codon position. Lineage: Bacteria; Bacillati; Actinomycetota; Actinomycetes; Micrococcales; Micrococcaceae. RNAcentral also lists the same sequence under 1 other name. The record is from RNAcentral.
GUCUGUGUAGCCCAAUGGUCGAGGCGGCUGGAUAUAAACAGCAGACUCUCGGUUCGAUUCCGAGCACAGGCG